Molecule: ribosomal RNA, 497 nt
Filed under: uncultured bacterium
Lineage: Bacteria
Description: partial 16S ribosomal RNA
Rfam family: Bacterial small subunit ribosomal RNA
Source: RNAcentral
GAUGAACGCUGGCGGCGUGCCUAAUACAUGCAAGUCGAGCGAACGGACGAGAAGCUUGCUUUUCUGAUGUUAGCGGCGGACGGGUGAGUAACACGUGGAUAACCUACCUAUAAGACUGGGAUAACUACGGGAAACCGGAGCUAAUACCGGAUAAUAUUUUGAACCGCAUGGUUCAAAAGUGAAAGACGGUCCUGCUGUCACUUAUAGAUGGAUCCGCGCUGCAUUAGCUAGUUGGUAAGGUAACGGCUUACCAAGGCAACGAUGCAUAGCCGACCUGAGAGGGUCAUCGGCCACACUGGAACUGAGCCACGGUCCAGACUCCUGCGGGAGGACGCGGUACGGAAUCUUCCGCAAGGGGCGAAAGCCUAACGGAGCAACGCCGCGUGAGUGAUGAAGGUCUUCGGAUCGUAAAACUCUGUUAUUAGGGAAGAACAUAUGUGUAAGUAACUGUGCACAUCUUGACGGUACCUAAUCAGAAAGCCACGGCUAACUACGUG